CCGGGUGUCAGUCACUGCAGACAUCACUGCAGACACAGAGAUGGCCAUUAGAGCUCACCACCCCGGGUGUCAGUCACUGCAGACAUCACUGCAGACACAGAGACGGCCAUUAGAGCUCACCACCCCGGGUGUUAGUCACUGCAGACAUCACUGCAGACACAGAGACGGCCAUUAGAGCUCACCACCCCAAGUGUUAGUCACUGCAGACAUCACUGCAGACACAGAGACGGCCAUUAGAGCUCACCACCCCAGGCGUUAGUCACUGCAGACAUCACUGCAGACAGAGAAGGCCAUUAGAGCUCACCACCCCAGGUGUUAGUCACUGCAGACAUCACUGCAGACAUCACUGCAGACACAGAGACGGCCAUUAGAGCUCACCACCCCGAGCGUUAGUCACUGCAGACAUCACUGCAGACACAGAGACGGCCAUUAGAGCUCACCACCCCAAGUGUUAGUCACUGCAGACAUCACUGCAGAC
This 478-nucleotide long non-coding RNA is filed under the name Pan troglodytes (chimpanzee). RNAcentral describes it as "long non-coding RNA NONPTRT006579". Lineage: Eukaryota; Metazoa; Chordata; Mammalia; Primates; Hominidae. The record is from RNAcentral.